UACGUAGGUGGCGAGCGUUAUCCGGAAUGAUUGGGCGUAAAGGGUGCGUAGGUGGCUUGUUAAGUCUGGAGUUAAAGCCGGCAGCUCAACUGUCGUACGCUUUGGAAACUGGCAAGCUAGAGUGCAGGAGAGGGCAAUGGAACUCCAUGUGUAGCGGUAAAAUGCGUAGAUAUAUGGAAGAACACCAGUGGCGAAGGCGGUUGCCUGGCCUGUAACUGACACUGAAGCACGAAAGCGUGGGGAGCAAAUAG
This 251-nucleotide ribosomal RNA is filed under the name uncultured Erysipelotrichaceae bacterium. Its description in RNAcentral is "partial 16S ribosomal RNA". It matches the Rfam family "Bacterial small subunit ribosomal RNA", at positions 524 to 775 of the family's 1533-position model. Lineage: Bacteria; Bacillati; Bacillota; Erysipelotrichia; Erysipelotrichales; Erysipelotrichaceae. The record is from RNAcentral.